GAGGCAUUCUGGGUUGGGAGGGAGUGGUGUUUGAUGGGGUUUUUGGUUUGUUUUCUUUUUCCUGUGCUUAAGCACUAAAACUGAGUAAAGCCCUUUAAAAUUUCUUCUGUACUACAAAAGUAGAAAUGACCUUCAUCAGGAACUUGUGCGUGUCAAGUGGAACCCAGGUGAAGUUUUAAAGGACCGUGGUCAUGAGAGAAACUUUCACCGUGCCCUGAAAAUGGACAGCCACCUGCAUACCUCACAGGUUUUCAGUAGCCUUUGACAUACCCUGUACAAACAGCAACAUAAAGGCAGAAGACUACAUCGUGCCACAAUCCGGAUGCCAGAUACUGUCUGUAUUGGAAGGGUUUAGAGCCCUUGUUCCUUUAACAAAAUACGUGUAUGAUAGUGGUCUAAAGACAAACACUGCAUUGACUCAUUUUGUACACCUUGUGCAUGAAAAAUAUUCCAGUUAAGUGUAUUGUCAAAACAUAGAUGUAGGAAAUAAUUCAUGUGUAAAGACAUGCAUUAGUAACUUCAACUUAGGGUUGCAAGGAGCUGUUUUACCAUGGACGCUAUCCAAAGAAGGGGUGCCUAUUUCCGUAGAAAUGGGUGUACUGGAGCAUCAGCAAAGGAAUGUGAAGGUGUUCUUUAGUCCAAGACUUCAUUUCAGUGAAGUGACUCUGAAUCUGGCCCUGGAUCCAAACACUGAGAAUGGGAGUUGUAAAAAAUGAAGGAGCUAAACACAUUACUGCUGCUCAGCUAUGGAAUACGUGAGGAGAUAAUUCUGGUCAGGGGAAGUGGUGAAUUACUACUGAAAUUCUCCAGUCUGCUGGGUACGGUGCGUUGAGAGAAAUACUGUUCAGCACUAGCAGCUGGUUUUAAGUAAGCUUCCUUACAGUGUCUCCAGUGUAAAAUGCUUUGUUGUGGGGAUUUUUUUGUGUUGAGUUUUGUGUUUGGUUUUGUGGUUUUUUUAAAUCCCCCGCUCUUAACUCUUGGAAUUUAGACAAAUUCAGAAAUCUAGUUUGGGCUUGUUUUUAAUGUAAAAAACAUAACAUCUCUGAGCUCUUCCACAGAAAGCAUUUAGUUUGGUACUCCCAUGUGCUGUCCAAGCACACUACCCCAGUUUGCAAAACCUGUUUUGUAAGUACUGAUGCUAAUCAAAUCUUGCCACUCAGAAACAAGGGUUGGGGGAUUUGCCUGUCCUUUUUCUUAGAAAAUAAAUAAUACCAUCACUGACAAAUGAUUUCCAUGAAUUAAUUGCCUGGACCAAAGGGUGCUCUGCUACUUGUGUGCAGGCUGCAUUGAAGACAGUUUCCCAGUCAUUCUGCAAUUGCAUUGCUUAACUGUCUGUCCUGUUGCCAAAGCAUUGCCAGGAUUUCAGUGACAAUGCAAGAUUUUAUUUGUUAUCACUGGGAUGAUGUGAAGAAAGCUUUCCUUAAUGACACCCGUUUCCUUUGUCACUGAAGUACCAAUUCACACUCCGGUACUAUCAAUUAUCGCACCACCUCAAAUUAGCUGAAG
This 1506-nucleotide long non-coding RNA is filed under the name Aquila chrysaetos chrysaetos. Its description in RNAcentral is "lncRNA (ENSACCG00020011776.1)". Lineage: Eukaryota; Metazoa; Chordata; Aves; Accipitriformes; Accipitridae. The record is from RNAcentral.